UUGCUUAUUUUGGGGAAGAGAUUUGUAGAGAGAACUCCGAGAAAAUAGAGAGAAAGAGAGAGAGAGAUCCUUGAAAGGUCAAAAGAGGUCAGAUUAGAUUGUGAUUACCCGUUGAAUCAUCUCCUUCUCUCGUUGAAAAUUUUGGUCAAAAUAGUUAAGCUAAAGCCAAACCCUAAGCUCAAGGUUAAGGGGGAAUGGUCGGCGUGAUGAACAGAUUGAGGAAUCUGGACGCUUACCCUAAAAUCAAUGAAGAUUUCUACAGGCGUACACUCUCUGGUGGUGUUAUCACCCUCGUCUCUUCUCUCGUCAUGCUAGUUCUCUUCUUCUCCGAGCUUCGUAAGUUCAUUAGAUCCUAUACUCUGUUCUUUUCGUAGCUUUUGAUCCGGGGAAGCUUAAAGGUCGAUGAUUUGUAGAAUUGGAGCUCUAAAGUUUUGUUUUUUUACUUCUGGGGGGUUUAAUUCUUAUGUGAAACGAUGAUCUAGUUAAUUUAGAUAAUCAUCGUUGUUUAUGAGCAAGCAAACAGUGCUCGAUUUCAAUAGCAGUGUUCGUGUUUAAAUUUGUG
Molecule: long non-coding RNA, 562 nt
Filed under: Capsella grandiflora
Lineage: Eukaryota; Viridiplantae; Streptophyta; Magnoliopsida; Brassicales; Brassicaceae
Description: long non-coding RNA (CGRA_LNC000481)
Source: RNAcentral